Molecule: ribosomal RNA, 490 nt
Filed under: uncultured bacterium
Lineage: Bacteria
Description: partial 16S ribosomal RNA
Rfam family: Bacterial small subunit ribosomal RNA
Source: RNAcentral
AUUGAACGCUGGCGGCAGGCCUAACACAUGCAAGUCGAACGGUAACAGGAAGCAGCUUGCUGCUUCGCUGGCGAGUGGCGGACGGGUGAGUAAUGUCUGGGAAACUGCCUGAUGGAGGGGGAUAACUACUGGAAACGGUAGCUAAUACCGCAUAACGUCUCAUGACCAAAGAGGGGGACCUUAGGGCCUCUUGCCAUCGGAUGUGCCCAGAUGGUAUUAGCUAGUAGGUGGGGUAACGUCUCACCUAGGCGACGAUCUCUAGCUGGUCUGAGAGGAUGACCAGCCACACUGGAACUGAGACACGGUCCAGACUACUACGGGAGGCAGCAGUGGGGAAUAUUGCACAAUGGGCGCAAGCCUGAUGCAGCCAUGCCGAGUGUAUGAAGAAGGCCUUCGGGUUGUAAAGUACUUUCAGCGGGGAGGAAGGGAGUAAAGUUAAUACCUUUGCUCAUUGACGUUACCCGCAGAAGAAGCACCGGCUAACUCCGUG